RNAcentral lists this ribosomal RNA (169 nucleotides) under uncultured bacterium. RNAcentral's name for it is "partial 16S ribosomal RNA". It matches the Rfam family "Bacterial small subunit ribosomal RNA", at positions 338 to 524 of the family's 1533-position model. The record is from RNAcentral.
CCUACGGGAGGCAGCAGUGAGGAAUAUUGGACAAUGGGCGCAAGCCUGAUCCAACCAUGCCGCGUGAGUGAUGAAGGCCCUAGGGUUGUAAAGCUCUUUCAGUGGGGACGAUAAUGACGGUACCCACAGAAGAAGCCCCGGCUAACUUCGUGCCAGCAGCCGCGGUAAU